CCUACGGGUGGCAGCAGUGGGGAAUAUUGCGCAAUGGGCGAAAGCCUGACGCAGCGACGCCGCGUGAGGGAUGAAGGUCUUCGGAUCGUAAACCUCUGUCCGCAGGGAAGAACGGUCACUGUGCUAAUCAGCAGUGAAUUGACGGUACCUGCAAAGGAAGCACCGGCUAACUCCGUGCCAGCCGCCGCGGUAAUACGGAGGGUGCGAGCGUUACUCGGAAUUACUGGGCGUACAGCGCUCGUAGGCGGUAUGUCAAGUCAAGGGUGAAAUCCCCGCGCGCAACGUGGGAACUGCCUUUGAAACUGGCAAACUGGAGUGUGUGAGAGGAUAGUGGAAUUCCAGGUGUAGGAGUGAAAUCCGUAGAUAUCUGGAGGAACAUCAGUGGCGAAGGCGACUAUCUGGCACAUAACUGACGCUGAGGAGCGAAAGCGUGGGUAGCAAACAGGAUUAGAUACCCCUGUAGUC
RNAcentral lists this ribosomal RNA (465 nucleotides) under uncultured bacterium. RNAcentral describes it as "partial 16S ribosomal RNA". It matches the Rfam family "Bacterial small subunit ribosomal RNA", at positions 338 to 795 of the family's 1533-position model. The record is from RNAcentral.